GACGAACGCCGGCGGCGUGCUUAACACAUGCAAGUCGAGCGAUGAAGUUUCUUCGGAAAUGGAUUAGCGGCGAACGGGUGAGGAACACGUGAAGAAUCUGCCCUCCACUUUGGGAUAACACAGGGAAACCUGUGCUAAUACCGAAUAUUGAAACAUAAGUGGCAUCACUGAGUUUUGAAAGAAUUUCGGUGGAGGAUGACUUCGCGGCCCAUCAGCUAGUUGGUGAGGUAAUGGCUCACCAAGGCAACGACGGGUAGCCGGCCUGAGAGGGCGACCGGCCACACUGGGACUGAGACACGGCCCAGACUCCUACGGGAGGCAGCAGUGGGGAAUAUUGGGCAAUGGAGGAAACUCUGACCCAGCGACGCCGCGUGCGGGAUGAAGGCCUUCGGGUUGUAAACCGCUUUCAGUAGGGAAGAAGCGAAAGUGACGGUACCUACAAAAGAAGCACCGGCUAACUAUGUGCCAGCCGCCGCGGUAA
This 481-nucleotide ribosomal RNA is filed under the name uncultured bacterium. Its description in RNAcentral is "partial 16S ribosomal RNA". It matches the Rfam family "Bacterial small subunit ribosomal RNA", at positions 28 to 523 of the family's 1533-position model. The record is from RNAcentral.